GUUUUUUUUGCAGUUAGCAUGGAUGGCUUAAUCUCCCCUGAGAGUUAAGUCUGUAAGAAGAAACAAAGCGGAUAUUCUAAUUGCUCAUCAAGCAUGAUCACAUUUCAAAGAAUAAUCGCAUACAUUUGGAAUACCUCUUCAAAGACUGUUUAUUGUGAAAUUCACUUUAUGAUUCUUCAUCCUGAGAAGUCUGACUCCUCUGUCAUAG
Molecule: long non-coding RNA, 208 nt
Organism: Nannospalax galili (Upper Galilee mountains blind mole rat)
Lineage: Eukaryota; Metazoa; Chordata; Mammalia; Rodentia; Spalacidae
Exons: 3
Source: RefSeq, a predicted model, not a curated record